Molecule: ribosomal RNA, 389 nt
Filed under: uncultured bacterium
Lineage: Bacteria
Description: bacterial SSU rRNA
Rfam family: Bacterial small subunit ribosomal RNA
Source: RNAcentral
AUUGAACGCUGGCGGCAUGCCUUACACAUGCAAGUCGAACGGCAGCACGGGUGCUUGCACCUGGUGGCGAGUGGCGAACGGGUGAGUAAUGCAUCGGAACGUGCCCAGUCGUGGGGGAUAACACAUCGAAAGAUGUGCUAAUACCGCAUACGUCCUGAGGGAGAAAGCGGGGGAUCUUCGGACCUCGCGCGAUUGGAGCGGCCGAUGUCGGAUUAGCUAGUUGGUGGGGUAAAAGCCCACCAAGGCGACGAUCCGUAGCGGGUCUGAGAGGAUGAUCCGCCACACUGGGACUGAGACACGGCCCAGACUCCUACGGGAGGCAGCAGUGGGGAAUUUUGGACAAUGGGGGCAACCCUGAUCCAGCCAUGCCGCGUGAGUGAAGAAGGCCU